RNAcentral lists this ribosomal RNA (556 nucleotides) under Lodderomyces elongisporus. Its description in RNAcentral is "eukaryotic LSU rRNA". It matches the Rfam family "Eukaryotic large subunit ribosomal RNA", at positions 46 to 609 of the family's 3401-position model. Lineage: Eukaryota; Fungi; Ascomycota; Pichiomycetes; Serinales; Debaryomycetaceae. The record is from RNAcentral.
AUAAGCGGAGGAAAAGAAACCAACAGGGAUUGCCUUAGUAGCGGCGAGUGAAGCGGCAAUAGCUCAAAUUUGAAAUCUGGCACUUUCAGUGUCCGAGUUGUAAUUUGAAGAAGGUAUCUUUGGGUCUAGCUCUGUCUAUGUUUCUUGGAACAGAACGUCACAGAGGGUGAGAAUCCCGUGCGAUGAGAUGUCUAGAUCUAUGUAAAGUUCCUUCGAAGAGUCGAGUUGUUUGGGAAUGCAGCUCUAAGUGGGUGGUAAAUUCCAUCUAAAGCUAAAUAUUGGCGAGAGACCGAUAGCGAACAAGUACAGUGAUGGAAAGAUGAAAAGAACUUUGAAAAGAGAGUGAAAAAGUACGUGAAAUUGUUGAAAGGGAAGGGCUUGAGAUCAGACUUGGUAUUUUGUAUGUUACUCUCUCGGGGGUGGCCUCUACAGUUUACCGGGCCAGCAUCAGUUUGAGCGGUAGGAGAAUUGCGUAGGAAUGUGGCUCGGCCUCGGUCGAGUGUUAUAGCCUUCGUCGAUACUGCCAGCUUAGACUGAGGACUGCGGCUUCGGCCUA